This 22-nucleotide non-coding RNA is filed under the name Rattus norvegicus (Norway rat). The record is from RNAcentral. Lineage: Eukaryota; Metazoa; Chordata; Mammalia; Rodentia; Muridae.
UACAAACAAAAGUCAGGUGUGA